RNAcentral lists this ribosomal RNA (589 nucleotides) under Basidiomycota sp. UFMGCB 2215. Its description in RNAcentral is "eukaryotic LSU rRNA". The stretch from base 179 to 337 matches the Rfam family "5.8S ribosomal RNA". Lineage: Eukaryota; Fungi; Basidiomycota. The record is from RNAcentral.
ACAUAUCUCAACACUCUGUGCACUAACUUGUAGGAAUACGAGGGUGUGUAGAAGCCAUGACUUAUUCAUACUGUGAGAGGUUAUGGUUGAAGCUCUCCCCCGUUCCUAUGUUAUUUAUUCACAAACUUUUAGUUAAAGAAUGUAUUUAUACUUGCGUAUGACGCAUUUUAAUAUAACAACUUUUCAGCAACGGAUCUCUUGCGCUCUCGGCAUCGAUGAAGAACGCAGCGAAAUGCGAUAAGUAAUGUGAAUUUGCAGAAUUCCAGUGAAUCAUCGAAUCUUUGAACGCAACUUGCGCCCUUUGGUAUUCCCGAGGGGCACGCCUGUAUGAGUAUCAUGGAAAUCUCAAUCCCUAAAUUCUUUAUUGAUUUAUAGUAGGACUUGGAUGUGGAGGUAUUGUGUCGGCCAGUUCUGAUCGACUCCUCUGAAAUGCAUUAGCGUGAAUUCUUUGCGGAUCGCCUUCAGAUGUGAUAAUUGUCUACGCUGUGGUGUGAAGCAAUCUCUAUAUUCAUGCUUCUAAUCGUCUCUUUAGAGAGACAAUUACUUUUUAUUCUGAUCUCAAAUCAGGCAGGACUAGCCCGCUGACUAA